Molecule: non-coding RNA, 80 nt
Organism: Caenorhabditis elegans
Lineage: Eukaryota; Metazoa; Nematoda; Chromadorea; Rhabditida; Rhabditidae
Source: Ensembl
GAAAUAGGCAACAGUGUGACGGCAAGGGUGGCGUAAGUGGCCAUAGAAAGAAUAACAGCUUCUGUGUAGUCACAUGCUUC